Molecule: transfer-messenger RNA, 370 nt
Filed under: Streptomyces sp.
Lineage: Bacteria; Bacillati; Actinomycetota; Actinomycetes; Kitasatosporales; Streptomycetaceae
Rfam family: transfer-messenger RNA
About the family: Bacterial tmRNA, also known as 10Sa RNA or SsrA, is named for its dual tRNA and mRNA-like properties. Its role is to liberate the mRNA from a stalled ribosome.
Source: RNAcentral
GGGGAUGAUCGGUUUCGACUGGGGAUGUCGAAGCAGGGGAAGCGAGCCGAGGAAGCGGCAAUGAUCUCGUUAACCAUAUGCCGAAACCAAUAAUCGCCAACACCAAGCGCGAUUCCUUCGCCCUCGCUGCCUGAGUAGCGACUUGCGAAGUGUCAGCCCGGGGCCGUUCCCGACCCGGAUCCUGGCAUCAGCUAGGGAACUCAACCUACAAGACCGGUCACGGGUCCUGUAGGGAAAUCUCACAGUGACUGAGCCCGUCGGCGGCUUGUCCGCGUGACCGCCGGGGCUGAGAAAAGCACAGCGGACUGCGCUCGGAGAAGCCCUGAUUCGCCACCACAGGACGCGGGUUCGAUUCCCGCCAUCUCCACUC